UACGAAGGGGGCUAGCGUUGCUCGGAAUCACUGGGCGUAAAGCGCACGUAGGCGGAUCCUUAAGUCGGGGGUGAAAUCCUGGAGCUCAACUCCAGAACUGCCUUCGAUACUGAGGAUCUCGAGUCCGGGAGAGGUGAGUGGAACUGCGAGUGUAGAGGUGAAAUUCGUAGAUAUUGGGAAGAACACCGGUGGCGAAGGCGGCUCUCUGGGCCGAUACUGACGCUGAGGAGCGAAAGCGUGGGGAGCGAACAGG
This 253-nucleotide ribosomal RNA is filed under the name uncultured bacterium. RNAcentral's name for it is "partial 16S ribosomal RNA". It matches the Rfam family "Bacterial small subunit ribosomal RNA", at positions 524 to 776 of the family's 1533-position model. The record is from RNAcentral.